UGGGGAAUCUUGCACAAUGGGGGCAACCCUGAUGCAGCGACGCCGCGUGAGCGAUGAAGGUUUUCGAACCGUAAAGCUCUGUCCUAUGGGAAGAUAAUGACGGUACCAUAGGAGGAAGCCCCGGCUAACUACGUGCCAGCAGCCGCGGUAAUACGUAGGGGGCUAGCGUUGUCCGGAAUCACUGGGCGUAAAGGGUUCGCAGGCGGAAAUGCAAGUCAGGUGUAAAAGGCAGUAGCUUAACUACUGUAAGCAUUUGAAACUGCAUAUCUUGAGAAGAGUAGAGGUAAGUGGAAUUUUUAGUGUAGCGGUGAAAUGCGUAGAUAUUAAAAAGAAUACCGGUGGCGAAGGCGACUUACUGGGCUCAUUCUGACGCUGAGGAACGAAAGCGUGGGUAGCAAACAGG
This 403-nucleotide ribosomal RNA is filed under the name Verrucomicrobiota bacterium. RNAcentral's name for it is "Verrucomicrobia bacterium partial 16S ribosomal RNA". It matches the Rfam family "Bacterial small subunit ribosomal RNA", at positions 355 to 776 of the family's 1533-position model. Lineage: Bacteria; Pseudomonadati; Verrucomicrobiota. The record is from RNAcentral.